Long non-coding RNA from Mytilus californianus (California mussel), 549 nucleotides. RefSeq lists it as uncharacterized. The transcript has 4 exons. The record is from RefSeq and is a predicted model, not a curated record. Lineage: Eukaryota; Metazoa; Mollusca; Bivalvia; Mytilida; Mytilidae.
GUAUUAAUGGUGGACCAUCAGAUCAAUGUAAAGAUGCCAAGUCAACAUGUGUACUGGUAACUGGUAACUACAAAUGUGCAUGUAACAGUGGAUAUUACAACAAUGGAGGAAUUUGUACUAACAAGAUAAAUGUUGAUGCAGCAUGUACUAAUGGUGGACCAUCAGAUCAAUGUAAAGAUUCCAAGUCAACAUGUGUACUGGUUACUGGUAACUACAAAUGUGCAUGUAACAGCGGAUAUUACAACAAGGAUGGAACUUGUACUAACAAGAUAGAUGUUGAUGCUUCAUGUAUUAAUGGUGGACCAUCAGAUCAAUGUAAAGAUGCCAAGUCAAUAUGUGUACUGGUAACUGGUAACUACAAAUGUGCAUGUAACAGUGGAUAUUACAACAAUGGAGGAACUUGUACUAACAAGAUAGAUGUUGAUGCUUCAUGUAUUAAUGGUAGACCAUCAGAUCAAUGUAAAGAUGCCAAGUCAACAUGUGUACUGGUAACUGGUAACUACAAAUGUGCAUGUAACAGUGGAUAUUACAACAAUAUAGGCACUUGUA